AAAUUGAAGAGUUUGAUCAUGGCUCAGAUUGAACGCUGGCGGCAGGCCUAACACAUGCAAGUCGAACGGUAACAGGAAGCAGCUUGCUGCUUUGCUGACGAGUGGCGGACGGGUGAGUAAUGUCUGGGAAACUGCCUGAUGGAGGGGGAUAACUACUGGAAACGGUGGCUAAUACCGCAUAACGUCGCAAGACCAAAGAGGGGGACCUUCGGGCCUCUUGCCAUCAGAUGUGCCCAGAUGGGAUUAGCUAGUUGGUGAGGUAACGGCUCACCAAGGCGACGAUCCCUAGCUGGUCUGAGAGGAUGACCAGCCACACUGGAACUGAGACACGGUCCAGACUCCUACGGGAGGCAGCAGUGGGGAAUAUUGCACAAUGGGCGCAAGCCUGAUGCAGCCAUGCCGCGUGUAUGAAGAAGGCCUUCGGGUUGUAAAGUACUUUCAGCGGGGAGGAAGGUGUUGUGGUUAAUAACCGCAGCAAUUGACGUUACCCGCAGAAGAAGCACCGGCUAACUCCGUGCCAGCAGCCGCGGUAAUACGGAGGGUGCAAGCGUUAAUCGGAAUUACUGGGCGUAAAGCGCACGCAGGCGGUCUGUCAAGUCGGAUGUGAAAUCCCCGGGCUCAACCUGGGAACUGCAUUCGAAACUGGCAGGCUUGAGUCUUGUAGAGGGGGGUAGAAUUCCAGGUGUAGCGGUGAAAUGCGUAGAGAUCUGGAGGAAUACCGGUGGCGAAGGCGGCCCCCUGGACAAAGACUGACGCUCAGGUGCGAAAGCGUGGGGAGCAAACAGGAUUAGAUACCCUGGUAGUCCACGCCGUAAACGAUGUCUACUUGGAGGUUGUGCCCUUGAGGCGUGGCUUCCGGAGCUAACGCGUUAAGUAGACCGCCUGGGGAGUACGGCCGCAAGGUUAAAACUCAAAUGAAUUGACGGGGGCCCGCACAAGCGGUGGAGCAUGUGGUUUAAUUCGAUGCAACGCGAAGAACCUUACCUGGUCUUGACAUCCACAGAAGAAUCCAGAGAUGGAUUUGUGCCUUCGGGAACUGUGAGACAGGUGCUGCAUGGCUGUCGUCAGCUCGUGUUGUGAAAUGUUGGGUUAAGUCCCGCAACGAGCGCAACCCUUAUCCUUUGUUGCCAGCGAUUAGGUCGGGAACUCAAAGGAGACUGCCAGUGAUAAACUGGAGGAAGGUGGGGAUGACGUCAAGUCAUCAUGGCCCUUACGACCAGGGCUACACACGUGCUACAAUGGCGCAUACAAAGAGAAGCGACCUCGCGAGAGCAAGCGGACCUCAUAAAGUGCGUCGUAGUCCGGAUUGGAGUCUGCAACUCGACUCCAUGAAGUCGGAAUCGCUAGUAAUCGUGGAUCAGAAUGCCACGGUGAAUACGUUCCCGGGCCUUGUACACACCGCCCGUCACACCAUGGGAGUGGGUUGCAAAAGAAGUAGGUAGCUUAACCUUCGGGAGGGCGCUUACCACUUUGUGAUUCAUGACUGGGGUGAAGUCGUAACAAGGUAACCGUAGGGGAACCUGCGGUUGGAUCACCUCCUUACCUUAAAGAA
This 1552-nucleotide ribosomal RNA is filed under the name Salmonella enterica. RNAcentral describes it as "bacterial SSU rRNA". It matches the Rfam family "Bacterial small subunit ribosomal RNA". The record is from RNAcentral. Lineage: Bacteria; Pseudomonadati; Pseudomonadota; Gammaproteobacteria; Enterobacterales; Enterobacteriaceae. RNAcentral also lists the same sequence under 3 other names.